UGCGGGGUGGAGCAGCCUGGUAGCUCGUCAGGCUCAUAACCUGAAGGCCGUUGGUUCAAAUCCAACCCCCGCUACCA
This 77-nucleotide transfer RNA is filed under the name bacterium. RNAcentral describes it as "tRNA-Met". It matches the Rfam family "tRNA". From Rfam's summary of the family: Transfer RNA (tRNA) molecules are approximately 80 nucleotides in length. Their secondary structure includes four short double-helical elements and three loops (D, anti-codon, and T loops). Further hydrogen bonds mediate the characteristic L-shaped molecular structure. tRNAs have two regions of fundamental functional importance: the anti-codon, which is responsible for specific mRNA codon recognition, and the 3' end, to which the tRNAs corresponding amino acid is attached (by aminoacyl-tRNA synthetases). tRNAs cope with the degeneracy of the genetic code in two manners: having more than one tRNA (with a specific anti-codon) for a particular amino acid; and 'wobble' base-pairing, i.e. permitting non-standard base-pairing at the 3rd anti-codon position. The record is from RNAcentral. RNAcentral also lists the same sequence under 1 other name.